RNAcentral lists this ribosomal RNA (253 nucleotides) under uncultured bacterium. Its description in RNAcentral is "partial 16S ribosomal RNA". It matches the Rfam family "Bacterial small subunit ribosomal RNA", at positions 524 to 776 of the family's 1533-position model. The record is from RNAcentral.
UACGUAGGGUGCUAGCGUUGUUCGGAAUCAUUGGGCGUAAAGCGCGUGUAGGUGGCCUUCUAAGUUGGAUGUGAAAUGCCUGGGCUCAACCGAGGAAGUGCAUCCAAAACUAGUUGGCUAGAGGACGGCAGAGGGAGGUGGAAUUCCUAGUGUAGAGGUGAAAUUCGUAGAUAUUAGGAGGAAUACCGGCGGCGAAGGCGGCCUCCUGGACCGGUCCUGACACUGAGACGCGAAAGCGUGGGUAGCAAUCAGG